GCUGGGCAUAGUGGCACACACCUGUAAUCUCAGCAACUUUGGAGGCUGAGGCAGGAGCAUUGCAUGUUCAAGACCAGCCUCAACAACUUGGUAAGAUCCUGCCUCAA
This 107-nucleotide small RNA is filed under the name Marmota monax (woodchuck). Lineage: Eukaryota; Metazoa; Chordata; Mammalia; Rodentia; Sciuridae. The record is from RNAcentral.